Molecule: ribosomal RNA, 463 nt
Filed under: uncultured bacterium
Lineage: Bacteria
Description: partial 16S ribosomal RNA
Rfam family: Bacterial small subunit ribosomal RNA
Source: RNAcentral
ACGAACGCUGGCGGCGUGCUUAACCCCUGCAAGUCGAACGGAAAGGCCCUGCUUGCAGGGUACUCGAGUGGCGAACGGGUGAGUAACACGUGGGUGAUCUGCCCUGCACUUCGGGAUAAGCCUGGGAAACUGGGUCUAAUACCGGAUAGGAGCCAUUUUUAGUGUGAUGGUUGGAAAGUUUUUUCGGUGUAGGAUGAGCUCGCGGCCUAUCAGCUUGUUGGUGGGGUAAUGGCCUACCAAGGCGGCGACGGGUAGCCGGCCUGAGAGGGUGGACGGCCACAUUGGGACUGAGAUACGGCCCAGACUCCUACGGGAGGCAGCAGUGGGGAAUAUUGCACAAUGGGCGCAAGCCUGAUGCAGCGACGCCGCGUGGGGGAUGACGGCCUUCGGGUUGUAAACUCCUUUCGCUAGGGACGAAGCUUUUUGUGACGGUACCUAGAUAAGAAGCACCGGCUAACUACGU